This 521-nucleotide ribosomal RNA is filed under the name uncultured bacterium. RNAcentral describes it as "partial 16S ribosomal RNA". It matches the Rfam family "Bacterial small subunit ribosomal RNA", at positions 244 to 757 of the family's 1533-position model. The record is from RNAcentral.
GGUAGUUGGUGAGGUAAAGGCUCACCAAGCCGACGAUCUGUAGCUGGUCAGAGAGGACGACCAGCCACACUGGGACUGAGACACGGCCCAGACUCCUACGGGAGGCAGCAGUGGGGAAUUUUGGACAAUGGGCGAAAGCCUGAUCCAGCAAUGCCGCGUGCAGGAUGAAGGCCUUCGGGUUGUAAACUGCUUUUGUACGGAACGAAACGGCGAGCUCUAAUACAGUUUGCUAAUGACGGUACCGUAAGAAUAAGCACCGGNUAACUACGUGCCAGCAGCCGCGGUANNNNNUAGGGUGCAAGCGUNNNUCGGAAUUACUGGGCGUAAAGCGUNNNNAGGCGGUUNNNUAAGACAGGCGUGAAAUCCCCGGGCUCAACCUGGGAAUUGCGUUUGUGACUGUAGGGCUAGAGUACGGCAGAGGGGGAUGGAAUUCCGCGUGUAGCAGUGAAAUGCGUAGAUAUGCGGAGGAACACCGAUGGCGAAGGCAAUCCCCUGGGCCUGUACUGACGCUCAUGCACGAA